AGCUCCAAUAGCGUAUAUUAAAGUUGUUGCAGUUAAAAAGCUCGUAGUUGGAUUUGUGGUUGUCUGUUGCUGAUCUUCACAUUGUGUUGAUUUGGUGUACAGUCGCCAUCCUUGGGUGGAUCUUGUGUGGCAUUAGGUUGUCGUGCAGGGGAUGCCCAUCGUUUACUGUGAAAAAAUUAGAGUGUUCAAAGCAGGCUUAUGCCGUUGAAUAUAUUAGCAUGGAAUAAUAAGAUAGGACCUUGGUACUAUUUUGUUGGUUUGCGCACCAAGGUAAUGAUUAAUAGGGACAGUUGGGGGUAUUCGUAUUCCAUUGUCAGAGGUGAAAUUCUUGGAUUUUUGGAAGACGAACUACUGCGAAAGCAUUUACCAAGGAUGUUUUCAUUAAUCAAGAACGAAAGUA
This 400-nucleotide ribosomal RNA is filed under the name phytoplankton environmental sample. Its description in RNAcentral is "partial small subunit ribosomal RNA". It matches the Rfam family "Eukaryotic small subunit ribosomal RNA", at positions 587 to 991 of the family's 1831-position model. The record is from RNAcentral.